This 46-nucleotide non-coding RNA is filed under the name Schistosoma margrebowiei. Lineage: Eukaryota; Metazoa; Platyhelminthes; Trematoda; Strigeidida; Schistosomatidae. The record is from RNAcentral.
GCGCUUCUGACGAGUCCCACAAUAGGACGAAACGGUCGUCCAGUGC